CCGGGAGGGGUGCCUGACAGGGGCGCCCUCCUCACGUUCCACAGUCAGCUUGCCCUUCCCUCCAGCUUUCUUUCUGACGCUAGCAGAAGAUUAGGACUCUGGGAGAGAGAGGAGUCCUGGACUCCAAGGACUGGUUAACUUGGAGGCCCCACCCUUCUGUUCAAAGCUAGCCUAACUCGGAGAACUCAGAGUAAAGCUCUUUGAAGGCAAACAUCCUAAAUGUCAGUCCAGUAUCCACGGGGGCGAGAGACAGCAGGUGAGAAACCUGGAAGUGAACCUGAAGAGGCGAAGCUGCAGAACGCCAGCAAACAGAUCGUGCAGAAUGCCAUCCUGCGCGCUGUGCAGCAGGUCUCCCAGGAGAGUCGGCGGAGGGAAGCCAGAGCCAGCGGCACCCAGGGCAGCCCCCAGCGGGGCGUGGGGGAGUUAACCAAGAAGCAUGAGAAGAAGUAACACCGUGGAUUCGGCCCUUGUCACACUGCUUGGUCUUCAGCCUUCCUCUUAGUAUAGGAUGUGUCGCCAAAAUGUUGCCAGUAAAGCAAACCAAAGUGUCAUAGGCACCUAGCAGUAGGAUGAACUUGCACGAGCCCCUCGUUGGGAUGCACUGUUCUGACAAAAGUGCAUUAGACGAUUCUGUUUAAACACAGUGCCUCGGAAACAUAGUCGGGCCAAACACGACACUGUAAUUGCAAAAGUAGUUUUGCAGCACAAUUCCUUUUUAAAAUCUUUUUUUUUUAAAUGAUUCUGUCUUGUUUAUUUAAUUUUGCCUUUUGUGCAUUUUUUCUGUGAAUUUAACCAGCAGUCCUUUUUUGCUGAAACAUUGAGUGCAGUACUGAGAUCUGUAUAAUAUUUUAUAAAGACAUGCUGGAAGGGUGAAGGAAUAUUGUUUGAGUGCCCCUCAAAUAUGGAAUUGAAGGUUUUAAUAAAGUGGGUUCAGGUCCAAGAUCAAAUUAAGCAAAAAGCAAAUCCUAAGACCAAGUCCCUCAGGAUCUUAACAAGGUGUGUAUUUAUAUUACUUUUUUAAAAAGGAGGAAUUUCGCUUUUCCUGUAUUCAGUCUGAAAUCUCUCAGUUGUUUGAUACUCGGUAUUUACUCUCUGUGCAGAAAUCCUUUGGAAAUAUUACGGAUUACUUUUUCCAUCUCAAGAUGAAAAUAAGACAGGUACAUCUAUAUGCAUGAGUUGUCAAUGUUAGCAACCCCUUGAAGAGCAGCAAGAAUUGUAGGUUGCAUCCUGGAGAUACAGUAGUGCCUGAUGAUGGUAUAUGGUGCCUUUGGGAGGAGCUCUUGGAUCUUAUAAAUGCUGUGGGGCCUUCAGGCUAUGCAUCUGCACUAGUACCUUGCUAAUAGGAAAUUUCCUUGUCCCACCCACGAAUUACAUUUUUCUUGAGAUUAUGAAAAUCAUAUGUAUUGGGAAUGAAUGUUGCUUCAAAUGGGAAAAUCAUUCUCUCAACUUUCUGGAACAGCAAAAGACAGUGGGAACAGUCGAGCAACCGUGUUGUGAAUGCAGUUAUGGAAGCGUGUGUGUGAGUGAAUAAAGCCAUCUCCGCAGCAGAAUGACUUCUGCUUCACCCCCAUGGGGGUAACACAUAGUUUUCUAUGUCCUUAGCAUCCCAUUUCCUGGGCUUUGCAGCAGUUAUUGAGUUGGAGCUAUUGGGAACAGAGGGAGAAUUUGGCCUUUGUUAGAGAUCUUUUGGCUUCGGGGUGUCAGUGUCUACAUUUGAUAGUUUUUUUAAAAAGCAAAGUAUCAGCAUCUAAAGGGUGACAGAUAUGAAGAUCUGCUUCUAAAAUUCCAACAUGUUACACUUUCCAGAAGGGAUAUUAUUGAGAAAUGGAUGAACACAGUCUCUUAUUAGUUCUCUUAGACCAUCUCACACCAUGCACAGAUGGAAUAAGUUCACAGGGAGGAUGUCUGUGGGAGGGAGCAGAGGGGUAAACAUUUAAAUGUGGUUUAUUCAUAAUUUUCUCUGAAUAGUUCUCAUGACAAUUGAAGAAUGAGUUCAAGGUGACCUGAAGUCAUAUAACUGAGUAGAACUAUACCGCAUAGUUAAUAGGAAUAAAAUAUUAGGGGAAAUUAUUCAAGAGUAUACGCACACAGACACACACACACACACACACACACACACACACACACAAAUAAACCCACUGCUUGUAGUUUGCAAAUGAUCUGACACUCUGUCUGCUAGGAUAUCUGAGUAGAAUCAGCCUUGGACUUGGUUGUCAUAUGGCAGAAACACAUAAACACACUCUCUUUCCUCUCUGGUGUGUCUGUGUUAAUACCUUGGGGAUCUUUGAGAAUAUCUGAUUAACCUCUGUAUCUAAAUGUUGUUUAUAAAUAAAACAUAUCCAGCUU
Molecule: long non-coding RNA, 2346 nt
Filed under: Sus scrofa (pig)
Lineage: Eukaryota; Metazoa; Chordata; Mammalia; Artiodactyla; Suidae
Description: lncRNA (ENSSSCG00030052977.1)
Source: RNAcentral